RNAcentral lists this long non-coding RNA (895 nucleotides) under Mytilus galloprovincialis (Mediterranean mussel). Lineage: Eukaryota; Metazoa; Mollusca; Bivalvia; Mytilida; Mytilidae. The record is from RNAcentral.
GUCGGUGUGCGUGGUUUUUUCUAAACAAGAACACAUGUAUUUAGGGAGCUAUCAUUUGAUUUUUAUGGGGGGGGCUAGGAUGAAAAAUUUUGUCCUGCAUUUUUUUUAGCUGUAAUCUCUGUCCUGCCUUUUAAUUUUUCACUCUGUUCGGUUCUGCCUUUUUUUUUUAAAAGUUUAUCCUGACUUUUUUUUACCUAAAUUGUCGUCCUGACAUUUUUUUUGCAAGUGUCUCAUCCUGCUUUUUUUUUUUACUCAAAACUCCUGUCCUGCCUAUUUUUUUUCAAAUUUCAUCCUAGCCCCCCCAUAAAAAUCAAAUGGUAGCUCCCUUAGAGAGACGAACAAGCUAUGAUAACUUUCCAGUGUGUUCAAUUUUAGCGAACGACAAUUUACCGCAAAAUUUAACAUAGUACUCUAGCAUUUGAGCUGCGUCGGAUAAAAUACUUAUACAUCUGUUAUCUUAUUCCGGGUUGAAAACAUCUCUAUGUAUUGAGGAGACAAAUUAUAGAACUAAGAAAAAAGGCACAAUCCGUUGCAAUUGUUUGCACUUGUCCUAAGUCGGGAAUGUGAUGUUCAGUAGUUAUUGUUUUUUUUUUAUUAGGCUCAUAUAAAGUGUUUCUCGUAUCCCGGUUUUUAUAUAGAUUAGACCUUUGGUUUUCCCGUUUGAAUGGUUUUACACUAGUCAUUUUUGGGUUCCUUUCUAGCUUGCUGUUCGGUGUAAGCUAAGGCUCCGUGUUGAAGACCGUACUUUGACCUUAAAUGGUUUACUUUUACAAAUUGCGACUUGGAUGGAAAGUUGUCUCAUUGGCACUCAUAUCACAUCUUCUUAUACCUCAUGUAAAUACAGGCUAGAUUACUAUAAUCGAUAAAAGCGCACAGACAGACAACCACAUCACAC